RNAcentral lists this RNase P RNA (411 nucleotides) under Verrucomicrobiota bacterium. RNAcentral describes it as "Verrucomicrobia bacterium RNase P RNA component class A". It matches the Rfam family "Bacterial RNase P class A". From Rfam's summary of the family: Ribonuclease P (RNase P) is a ubiquitous endoribonuclease, found in archaea, bacteria and eukarya as well as chloroplasts and mitochondria. Its best characterised activity is the generation of mature 5'-ends of tRNAs by cleaving the 5'-leader elements of precursor-tRNAs. Lineage: Bacteria; Pseudomonadati; Verrucomicrobiota. The record is from RNAcentral.
UGAUGGCAGACGAUCGCUGGUGAGUCGCGAGACUCAUUAGAGGAAAGUCCGAACACCACACGGCAGCAUGCCGCGUAAAAAACGCGGGCGCCGCAUUUGUAAGAUUGCGGCGACGGAAAGUGUCACAGAAAUGAUACCGCCGGUUCUUUGAGAAAAGUGCAGGCAAGGGUGAAAAGGCGAGGUAAGAGCUCACCGCGCGCGAAGUAAUUCACGCGGCAGGAAAAACCCCAUGCGGUGCAAGACAAAACAGGAGGAGGACAGCCGGUCCGUUGAUCUCCGGGUAUCGUCGCACGCGGCCGACACGAAAGUGGAGGCCCGUCCAGCUCCAGUUUAAAAACUGGGGCUGGAAGAUAAAUGAUCGUCGCUUCGAAGAAAUUCGGGAGACAGAAUUCGGCUUACCGCCAUCAAAUU